GAUGAACGCUGGCGGCGUGCCUAAUACAUGCAAGUCGAGCGAACGGACGAGAAGCUUGCGUCUCUGAUGUUAGCGGCUGACGGGUGAGUAACACGUGGAUAACCUACCUAUAAGACUGGGAUAACUUCGGGAAACCGUAGCUAAUACUGGAUAAUAUUUUCAACGGCAUGGUUCAAAAGUGAAUGACGGCUUGGCCGUCUCUAUUAGAUGGAUCCGCGCUGCAUUAGCUAGUUGGUAAGGUAACGGCUUACCAAGGCAACGAUGCAUAGCUGACCUGAGAGGGUGAUCAGCCACACUGGAACUGAGACACGGUCCAGACUCCUACGGGAGGCAGCAGUAGGGAAUAUUGCGCAAUGGGCGAAAGCCUGACGGAGCAACGCCGCGUGAGUGAUGAAGGUCUUCGGAUCGUAAAGCUCUGUUAUUAGGGAAGAAAAGAUGUGUAAGUAACUGUGCACAUCUUGACGGUACCUAAUCAGAAAGCCCCGGCUAACUACGUG
RNAcentral lists this ribosomal RNA (497 nucleotides) under uncultured bacterium. RNAcentral describes it as "partial 16S ribosomal RNA". It matches the Rfam family "Bacterial small subunit ribosomal RNA", at positions 28 to 507 of the family's 1533-position model. The record is from RNAcentral.